AUUCUGUCUCUCUCGUUUGGAAUAUUUAUUCUGUUCCUUUCACUCUUUUCCUUUUGGCACCUUAUACCUUUUGUAGUUGUUCUGCAGCCCUGGAUAUUCUUUAUUUUUUUUAGGCUUUAUUUUCUUUGCUUCUCAGUUUUUAAGGAUUCUUUGGCUAUAUCCUCUGGGCUUCCCCUCUGGUUCAGAUGGUAAAGAAUCUGCCUGCAAUGCAGGAGACCUGGGUUCGGAUCCUGGGUUGGGAAGAUCCCCUGGUGAAGGGAAAAGCUACCCACUCCAGUGUUCGGUCUGGAGAAUCCCAUAGAUUGUAUAGUCCAUGCGAUCGCAAGGAGUGGGACACGACUGAGCAACUUUCACUUUCACUAUAUCCUCUAGCUCAAAGAUUCUUUGCUCAGCCAUGUCUAGUCUACUUAACAAGCCAUCAGAGGCAGUCUUCAUUUCCUUUUCAGUGUUUCUACGUCCAGCACUUGCUUUUGUUCCUUUUGUUUCUUUCUGUAGCCCUCCAGGCUCCUGUGUCCGUGGGGCUUGGGGUGGGGCUUCAGCUGGUUUUCCCUGCUCCCACCGCAGGGUAGAGCUUGCUCCCACCGCAGGGUAGAGCUUGCUCCCACCGCAGGGUAGAGCUUGCUCCCACCGCAGGGUAGAGCUUGCUCCCACCGCAGGGUAGAGCUUGCUCCCACCGCAGGGUAGAGCUUGCUCCCACCGCAGGGUAGAGCUUGCUCCCACCGCAGGGUAGAGCUUGCUGGGGCUCGUGUCCGCUUCCCCCAGCACUCAGGCUCGGGUUAGUGGGUUUCUCCUGCAGGCGCCUUGUUAACCGCAGAGCAUUCUGGGAAGCUCAAAACGGCUCCGUCCCCCUCCCCGGCCAGAGCCAGGGGAGCUUUGUCUUUGGUGCUGUGAUUCAGGUUGCCUCCUAGGGGUAAACCUCACAGUCUCCCAGGGACCCCUCCACACACCUACGACUGGGUCCCCCUGGAGUUUCUAACUCGCAGGCUUGUCCUCCUGAGCCCCCCGCAUCUCCUCGGUUACAUCUCGGCUGUUCCCGCCCAGGCCCUGGACCCCACAGAAUUACCCACGCUGGAGCCUCUGCUCAGCCAGUAACUUGUGAGACCCCCUCAAGGGAUAAUAUCUUCUCUGAACAAUCUGGACAAUGAUGUCAGCCCACCAGGCAGGGGAUGCUGGCAGCGUGGCUCCUGGGAGAUGAGCAUCUGUCUGGUUUCCCACGGAGCUCAUCUGAUGCUGCACAUCAAGGUAAUUGCCUAAUAGUGAAUUAAAGAGUUCAAGUAUAAGAUUCACUCUGAAAUCCUUUUUCUAAUGAAAGCGCGAUGGGUGCACUGAAUCAAAGCAACAGAUUUGAUCCUCUGCAUGAAGAAUACAAAGUGCAGCAGAAGGCACAGCGUGCUUUUCCCUGGGGGACUUCAUCUGAGGUCGCAGAGCUCUGUGGACCCUCUGAUCAAGUGUCCCCAGGCAGCUCUCAUCAGACAGGCAACACGCGAGGCUUCUAUUCUUCUCCGUUUUCACGUGGCUGCCUCUCUCCUCUCAAUCUCAAGGCCCAGAGAUUCCAGCUGGUUAAUACGUUGCAUACUGUGCGGUAGAUGCUAUUUUAAAUUAAGACACUGUAUGAGCACAUGCAAGAAGCGUAAAAAAAGCCAUUUGACUUUUUUUUUUUUUUGACAUUUCCAUACUUUUCUGCAUAAAUACUCGGAGGACACCUUCUAAAUCUCGCCAGUGGCCUGUCACAGCUAAACUCCAGGGAAAUAAGGCCACAGCAGCUGAGUCCUGGGAGAUGUGAGAGAAGCAAGUGACUCAAAACCUUGGGUGGCCCCGCCCUGCCUCUCUUCUUCCGCAAGGAUUUUGGGCCUGGGUGAUCACUCUUCCUCCGCGGGAGGUAACCUGGGUCUCUGAUGCCACUCUUGCAUAUUUGGGAUGCCGCAGACCUUGGAUUCCCAAGACGUGGUGUGUAGCAUGCAGAGCGAGCUUUUUUUUUUUUCUUUUUUUAAAAUUUUCUAGAUCUGGCUUUACUUUUUAUUUCCCUUUUUAAAAUUAAUUUAUUUUAAUUUGAGGAUAAUUACUUUACAAUAUUGUGAUGGUCUCUGCCAUACAUACAUCAACCUGAAUUGGCCACAGGUUACAUGUGUCCCCUCACCCCAAAACCCCCUCCUCAGCCUGUCCCUCUGGGUUGUCCCAGAGCACUGGCUUUGGGUGCCCUGCUCCAUGCGCAGGACUUGCACCAGUCAGCUAGUUCACGUAUGGCCAUGUACGUGCUUCCGUGCUACUCUCUCAGGUCACCCCACUGACAGCCCCACAUGCAGGGCAGCAAAGGGGAUGCAGACGUAAGGAACAGACUCUUGGACUCAGAGACGCUUUAACGACGUGUUCUUGGGAAAUGAAUCUCCCGUGUCAGGGCCUGACAUUGAUCCAAGCUGCUCUGGGAGUGGGAGGCCCUGACAUAUUUGCCAAGUGGAAGGCUUCUCUGAGAUCAGCAUUCAGAUGCCACAUUAUCAGUAAUAAUCUGCUCCUGCUGCUGCUGCUAAGUCACUUCAGUCGUGCCCGACCCUGUGUGACCCCAACAG
Long non-coding RNA from Bubalus bubalis (water buffalo), 2564 nucleotides. RefSeq lists it as uncharacterized. The transcript is spliced from 3 exons. The record is from RefSeq and is a predicted model, not a curated record. NCBI's taxonomy places the organism in Eukaryota, Metazoa, Chordata, Mammalia, Artiodactyla, Bovidae.